UGGGGAAUAUUGCACAAUGGAGGAAACUCUGAUGCAGCGAUGCCGCGUGAGGGAAGAAGGUUUUCGGAUUGUAAACCUCUGUCUUCAGGGACGAAAAUGACGGUACCUGAGGAGGAAGCUCCGGCUAACUACGUGCCAGCAGCCGCGGUAAUACGUAGGGAGCGAGCGUUGUCCGGAAUUACUGGGUGUAAAGGGAGCGUAGGCGGGGCUUUAAGUCAGGUGUGAAAUGUAUGGGCUCAACCCGUAAACUGCACUUGAAACUGAGGCUCUUGAGUGAAGUAGAGGCAGGCGGAAUUCCUAGUGUAGCGGUGAAAUGCGUAGAUAUUAGGAGGAACAUCAGUGGCGAAGGCGGCCUGCUGGGCUUUUACUGACGCUGAGGCUCGAAAGCGUGGGGAGCAAACAGGGAUUAGAUACCCUGGGUAGU
RNAcentral lists this ribosomal RNA (424 nucleotides) under uncultured Ruminococcus sp. RNAcentral describes it as "bacterial SSU rRNA". It matches the Rfam family "Bacterial small subunit ribosomal RNA", at positions 355 to 794 of the family's 1533-position model. The record is from RNAcentral. Lineage: Bacteria; Bacillati; Bacillota; Clostridia; Eubacteriales; Oscillospiraceae.